GGCAGUUCUCAGGUGACAUACCCCAGAAUUGGGCUCCAUCCGCUCUGGUUCUAGGUGUGUCACCUGAGAACCGCA
This is a microRNA precursor of Myotis lucifugus (little brown bat), 75 nucleotides long. It matches the Rfam family "mir-9223 microRNA precursor family". The record is from Rfam. Lineage: Eukaryota; Metazoa; Chordata; Mammalia; Chiroptera; Vespertilionidae.